GACGAACGCUGGCGGCGUGCUUAACACAUGCAAGUCGAACGGAAAGGCCCUGCUUUUGUGGGGUGCUCGAGUGGCGAACGGGUGAGUAACACGUGAGGAACCUGCCCUUGACUUUGGGAUAACUUCAGGAAACUGGGGCUAAUACCGGAUAGGAGCUCCUGCUGCAUGGUGGGGGUUGGAAAGUUUCGGCGGUUGGGGAUGGACUCGCGGCUUAUCAGCUUGUUGGUGGGGUAGUGGCUUACCAAGGCUUUGACGGGUAGCCGGCCUGAGAGGGUGACCGGCCACAUUGGGACUGAGAUACGGCCCAGACUCCUACGGGAGGCAGCAGUGGGGAAUAUUGCACAAUGGGCGGAAGCCUGAUGCAGCAACGCCGCGUGCGGGAUGACGGCCUUCGGGUUGUAAACCGCCUUCGCCUGUGACGAAGCGUGAGUGACGGUAAUGGGUAAAGAAGCACCGGCUAACUACGUG
RNAcentral lists this ribosomal RNA (468 nucleotides) under uncultured bacterium. RNAcentral's name for it is "partial 16S ribosomal RNA". It matches the Rfam family "Bacterial small subunit ribosomal RNA", at positions 28 to 507 of the family's 1533-position model. The record is from RNAcentral.